UCCUUUUCAGUGAGAACUAAC
Caenorhabditis elegans is the source of this 21-nucleotide non-coding RNA. The record is from Ensembl. Lineage: Eukaryota; Metazoa; Nematoda; Chromadorea; Rhabditida; Rhabditidae.